CCAAUAGCGUAUAUUAAAGUUGUUGCAGUUAAAAAGCUCGUAGUUGAAUUUCGGGAUCAGUUGGUCGGUCGUGCUUAGGUACGUACUGGUCAAAUUGAUUCCUACCUUCUGAAGAACCACGAUGUCAUUAAUUUGGUGUCGUGGGGAAUCAGGACUGUUACUUUGAAAAAAUUAGAGUGUUUAAAGCAGGCUCGCGCUUG
RNAcentral lists this ribosomal RNA (200 nucleotides) under uncultured Glomus. Its description in RNAcentral is "partial small subunit ribosomal RNA". It matches the Rfam family "Eukaryotic small subunit ribosomal RNA", at positions 591 to 797 of the family's 1831-position model. The record is from RNAcentral. Lineage: Eukaryota; Fungi; Glomeromycota; Glomeromycetes; Glomerales; Glomeraceae.